Molecule: ribosomal RNA, 497 nt
Filed under: uncultured bacterium
Lineage: Bacteria
Description: partial 16S ribosomal RNA
Rfam family: Bacterial small subunit ribosomal RNA
Source: RNAcentral
GAUGAACGCUGGCGGCGUGCCUAAUACAUGCAAGUCGAGCGAACAGACGAGGCGCUUGCUCCUCUGACGUUAGCGGCGGACGGGUGAGUAACACGUGGAUAACCUACCUAUAAGACUGGGAUAACUUCGGGAAACCGGAGCUAAUACCGGAUAAUCUAUUGAACCGCAUGGUUCAAUAGUGAAAGACGGUUUUGCUGUCACUUAUAGAUGGAUCCGCGCCGCAUUAGCUAGUUGGUAAGGUAACGGCUUACCAAGGCAACGAUGCGUAGCCGACCUGAGAGGGUGAUCGGCCACACAGGAACUGAGACACGGUCAAGACGCCUACGGGAGGAAGCAGUAGAGAAUCUUACGCAAUGGGCGAAAGCCUGAAGGAGCAACGCCGCGUGAGUGAGGAAGGUCUUCGGAUCGUAAAACUCUGUUAUUAGGGAAGAACAAAUGUGUAAGUAACUAUGCACGUCUUGACGGUACCUAAUCAGAAAGCCACGGCUAACUACGUG